RNAcentral lists this unclassified non-coding RNA (601 nucleotides) under Scedosporium dehoogii. RNAcentral's name for it is "sequence contains 18S rRNA gene, ITS1, 5.8S rRNA gene, ITS2, 28S rRNA gene". The stretch from base 201 to 354 matches the Rfam family "5.8S ribosomal RNA". Lineage: Eukaryota; Fungi; Ascomycota; Sordariomycetes; Microascales; Microascaceae. The record is from RNAcentral.
GUAACAAGGUCUCCGUUGGUGAACCAGCGGAGGGAUCAUUACAGAGUUACUACUCCAAACCCAUUGUGAACCUUACCUAUGUUCUGUUGCCUCGGCGGCGCGGUCAGCGUCCCCACGGACGACGGCCCCCGCCGGCAGCACCAAACUCUUGAAUUUUACAGCGGAUUACAGUUCUGAUUUGAAACAAAAAAACAAGUUAAAACUUUCAACAACGGAUCUCUUGGUUCUGGCAUCGAUGAAGAACGCAGCGAAAUGCGAUAAGUAAUGUGAAUUGCAGAAUUCAGUGAAUCAUCGAAUCUUUGAACGCACAUUGCGCCCGGCAGUAAUCUGCCGGGCAUGCCUGUCCGAGCGUCAUUUCAACCCUCGAACCUCUGUUUCCUCAGGGAAGCUCAGGGUCGGUGUUGGGGCGCUACGGCGAGUCUUCGCGACCCCCGUAGGCCCUGAAAUACAGUGGCGGUCCCGCCGCGGUUGCCUUCUGCGUAGUAAGUCUCUUUUGCAAGCUCGCAUUGGGUCCCGGCGGAGGCCUGCCGUCAAACCACUAUAACUCCAGAUGGUUUGACCUCGGAUCAGGUAGGGUUACCCGCUGAACUUAAGCAUAUCA